RNAcentral lists this small nuclear RNA (286 nucleotides) under Chinchilla lanigera (long-tailed chinchilla). Its description in RNAcentral is "7SK RNA (ENSCLAG00000021801.1)". It matches the Rfam family "7SK RNA". From Rfam's summary of the family: 7SK was discovered as an abundant small nuclear RNA in the mid-70s but a possible function has only recently been suggested. The record is from Rfam by way of RNAcentral. Lineage: Eukaryota; Metazoa; Chordata; Mammalia; Rodentia; Chinchillidae.
GGAUAAGAAGGUGAUCUGGCUGUGUCAUCUGUCACCCCAUUGAUCACCGGGCUUGAUUUGGCUGGUCUGGCUGUCUAGGUGGGGGUGCCCUUCCUCCCUCACCAUGCCAUGCGCAUCCCUCCCAAAGCUGCGUACUCAGAGAAGGACCACUCCCUCGGUCAAGGUCAUAUGAGUAGCUACACUUCCCUGCCAGAACCUCCAAACAAGCUCUGAAAAUGCCAUCCAUCUCUUUGCUAGAACUUUUAAAAUAAUUUGACAUUUCAAGGACUUUUAGGACAGAUUUCUU